CUUAUGGUUUCUGAAGUUCAAAUAUAAAAAACCAAAUAUUAUUACUCCAGAAUUAUGAUUCUAGGUUCCAAUUAUAGUUUUGGGAGGAGGGGGAUUUAUUUACAUACAAUUCCCCCAUUGAUAAUUAUAUUAGGAUGAAGCCUAUUUAAGUUAAUACAAAUACAAUUAGAAGUAUGCUGGUCAUAUAAAAGAAUGAAACUGACACAAUAAGUUAAGAUAGAUUUCUAUUAACUCGCCCAAAGCUGUUGAAAUCCUGGAAAAAGGCUGUCAAAAGAAAAAAAUCUGAAAGAAACUGUUUAGUAUUGAUUCUUUGCAGUAAACAUUUAUCUGUUGACACGACGAUGAAGUUUAAGUUAGAUAAGACUUGGAGCACUUGUCAAGCUCCUUAAAGAUGACGCUGUACUCACCGAUUAUGUACAGCAGUUCAGAAAAAAAAAAACACCGCCGUGGACAACUUUUCUAUGGAUAGCCUGAUAUUGUUGAGACUCCAAUUGAACCCAUGGAGAUUAAGACGCCAAGACAAAGCACAAGGAAAAUCAAACGGAAAUCAGCCAAAUCCACCACAGCAAACACACUCAAAUUGAUAGUUCAGUUUCUCCAAUGAAAAAAACUCCAAAUGUAAUGACCUAAGACUUGGAUAAAAGAAGAAUCACUUUGUUUUUGUGAAAUGUUUAAA
Molecule: long non-coding RNA, 676 nt
Organism: Macrosteles quadrilineatus (aster leafhopper)
Lineage: Eukaryota; Metazoa; Arthropoda; Insecta; Hemiptera; Cicadellidae
Exons: 3
Source: RefSeq, a predicted model, not a curated record